CCUACGGGAGGCAGCAGUAAGGAAUAUUGGUCAAUGGAGGCAACUCUGAACCAGCCAUGCCGCGUGCAGGAUGACGGCCCUAUGGGUUGUAAACUGCUUUUAUACAAGAGAAAACCCUGGUACGUGUACCAGGUUGAUAGUAUUGUAAGAAUAAGCAUCGGCUAACUUCGUGCCAGCAGCCGCGGUAAGACGAAGGAUGCAAGCGUUAUCCGGAUUCAUUGGGUUUAAAGGGUGCGUAGGCGGACUGAUAAGUCAGUGGUGAAAUCUCUUUGCUUAACAAAGAAACUGCCAUUGAUACUGUCGGUCUAGAGUAUAGAUGACGUUGGCGGAAUAUGACAUGUAGUGGUGAAAUACUUAGAUAUGUCAUAGAACACCGAUUGCGAAGGCAGCUAACGAAACUAUAACUGACGCUGAGGCACGAAAGUGCGGGGAUCAAACAGGAUUAGAUACCCUGGUAGUCCGCACCGUAAACGANANAUACUCGUGUGUGAUAUNANAGNNGCGACAGACGAAGA
Molecule: ribosomal RNA, 515 nt
Filed under: uncultured bacterium
Lineage: Bacteria
Description: bacterial SSU rRNA
Rfam family: Bacterial small subunit ribosomal RNA
Source: RNAcentral